CCGGUAACCAUAAACCAAAUCUAUAUCCAAAUUAAACCAUAUUUAAAAGUCCAGCCCAAAGUAAAAUUUUAGAAUCGGUGACCCAUUUACCAAAACCAAAAAAAACCGUAAACCAUUAAUAAAAAUUGGAUCAGCUUACCGGUUACCAAAUUUGAGACUCUCAAUCUCAACUCUCUCUUCUUCUCUUCUCUUUCGCUAGUUGAGUAGCUGUCACAAACCCUAAUUCCCAAAAUGGCAUCACCACACUCCGCCUAAUUCUCCUUCACCUUCUCCAUCUCCAAUUCUCUCUACACUUUCUCUCUCAUUCCAUCCAAUCUUCGAUCUCAGUCUUACGAUUGAAUUGCCGUGUCAGAAACUUUUUGAAGAUUCAAGAUGACUAAUGCUAAUUACUUGCCAACGUAUGCAACAUGCGAAAAUACGGUUUCAACCAAAUAGCUGUUGAGAUGGCUUGACAGCACCAAAAAGGCCUAUGUAAGGUCGACUCCUGAUUACGAUGUAUUGACUCUUGAUUAUGACUGUGUUAUCUAAGGUGUUGUUUGGUAUCAGUUGGAUGUUGGCCGGUAAUUCUGUUUUGAGUGUUGUUAGUAUCUAGUUUUUUUCUUGGGCAAAUUAGUCCGUGCUUUUGUAUUGGUCUCGAUUGUAUUCGUUUGAAUUGGUGGUGUACUUGCUUUAGAUACUAUUUCCUUUUCACUUUCUAAUAGAAGUGUUUUUAAUCUA
Vicia villosa (hairy vetch) is the source of this 717-nucleotide long non-coding RNA. RefSeq lists it as uncharacterized. The transcript is spliced from 3 exons. The record is from RefSeq and is a predicted model, not a curated record. Lineage: Eukaryota; Viridiplantae; Streptophyta; Magnoliopsida; Fabales; Fabaceae.